GAUGGGGGGGGAGUGGCGCACGGGUGAGUAACGCGUGGGAACCUACCCUUUGGUACGGGACAACGCAGGGAAACUUGCGCUAAUACCGUAUGAGCUCUUUGGAGGAAAGAUUUAUCGCCGAAGGAUGGGCCCGCGUCGGAUUAGGUAGUUGGUGAGGUAACGGCUCACCAAGCCGACGAUCCGUAGCUGGUCUGAGAGGAUGAUCAGCCACACUGGGACUGAGACACGGCCCAGACUCCUACGGGAGGCAGCAGUGGGGAAUAUUGGACAAUGGGCGCAAGCCUGAUCCAGCCAUGCCGCGUGAGUGACGAAGGCCUUAGGG
This 322-nucleotide ribosomal RNA is filed under the name uncultured bacterium. RNAcentral's name for it is "bacterial SSU rRNA". It matches the Rfam family "Bacterial small subunit ribosomal RNA", at positions 83 to 422 of the family's 1533-position model. The record is from RNAcentral.